GCGUCUGUAGCUCAGUGGUUAGAGCACUCAUACGGAUUAAGAGGGUUGUGGGUUCAAGUCCCACUAGACACA
Melampsora americana is the source of this 72-nucleotide non-coding RNA. The record is from the annotation of a GenBank genome assembly. Lineage: Eukaryota; Fungi; Basidiomycota; Pucciniomycetes; Pucciniales; Melampsoraceae.